AUUGAACGCUGGCGGCAGGCCUAACACAUGCAAGUCGAGCGGAUGAAGGGAGCUUGCUCCUGGAUUCAGCGGCGGACGGGUGAGUAAUGCCUAGGAAUCUGCCUGGUAGUGGGGGAUAACGUCCGGAAACGGGCGCUAAUACCGCAUACGUCCUGAGGGAGAAAGUGGGGGAUCUUCGGACCUCACGCUAUCAGAUGAGCCUAGGUCGGAUUAGCUAGUUGGUGGGGUAAAGGCCUACCAAGGCGACGAUCCGUAACUGGUCUGAGAGGAUGAUCAGUCACACUGGAACUGAGACACGGUCCGGACUCCUACGGGAGGCAGCAGUGGUGAAUAUUGGACAAUGGGCGAAAGCCUGGUCCAGCCAUGCCGCGUGUGUGAAGAAGGUCUUCGGAUUGUAAAGCACUUUAAGUUGGGAGGAAGGGCAGUAAGUUAAUACCUUGCUGUUUUGACGUUACCAACAGAAUAAGCACCGGCUAACUUCGUG
RNAcentral lists this ribosomal RNA (484 nucleotides) under uncultured bacterium. RNAcentral describes it as "partial 16S ribosomal RNA". It matches the Rfam family "Bacterial small subunit ribosomal RNA", at positions 30 to 507 of the family's 1533-position model. The record is from RNAcentral.